AAUGGGAGUUAGGGGACCGACUUUUAAAAAAUGGACAAGUAUCAACAGUCAAAAGAAUUUCCUAUUGGGGUAAAAAACGAAACAAAAAAGCCAAACAAAAGCGCUUCGGAGCUCGGUGGUGCUCUUCCUCUCUGAUUUUCGAAUUGGGGUGCAAUGAUAGCGGGGAUUCGUAUUCGGUUAAAGGGGUGGCAGCAGGCUGCAGUUGCAGUUGGUUCUGCAGUUGGGGCGUUGUUAGAUCCUCGAAGAGCAGAUCUCAUUGCUGCUUUGGGAGAGACAACGGGGAAACCAGCUUUUGAUAGGGUUCUUGAAAGGAUGAAAAAGAGCCCUGAAGGCAGAGUAAGACCUUUUUUACUUUAUUUAUUUCAAUUCAUCUUUCAGUUGAAUGCAAUGGCUUGCUCGUCAUUUAUAUAUUUGGCUUGUAAUAAUUGCAAAUUAUAUUUCUUUUAAGGGUGAUUUUGGGGAAGGGAGAUUUGGUGCCUGUUGCCACACUAGGCUGAGUUAGCCACUGAUAGGCAUUGAUCUUACGUUGCUUACAUCAGGUUACUCUAGAACUAAAUCAGAAUUGAUAUCUGGCCUAUAUGAAAUUUGGUUUACUAUGCGUUGCUGCUCACUUGUGAACCUUGGUGACAACUGAAGUCAUCAUGAACUCACGAAGAGCACCAGCUUUGAGCAUCUUCCACUCCCUUCUUACUUUGUACUGAUAGUUAAUGAGGAAAUGAAUCCCCAACUCAAUGAAAUGGUCCAACUGGUUAUAAAUGAUGGCAGUUCCAUCUUACUCCUACCAUUUACAAGCAGCCCAUUGAAGCCAAAUUCUCAGUAUUAUGAGAAGACUGAUCACCUAGUUCUUCAAGUGCCAGUUAAGGAUGUCUACUUGCUUCAAUAGACUGAGAAAUACUGCAGUUUGUACCCCUUACUAUUUGCUGCAAUUUAUUGAGCUAUUCUGUA
Nicotiana tabacum (common tobacco) is the source of this 945-nucleotide non-coding RNA. Lineage: Eukaryota; Viridiplantae; Streptophyta; Magnoliopsida; Solanales; Solanaceae. The record is from RefSeq and is a predicted model, not a curated record.